RNAcentral lists this ribosomal RNA (517 nucleotides) under uncultured bacterium. RNAcentral's name for it is "bacterial SSU rRNA". It matches the Rfam family "Bacterial small subunit ribosomal RNA", at positions 791 to 1306 of the family's 1533-position model. The record is from RNAcentral.
UAGUCCACGCCCUAAACGAUGGAUACUAGUCGUUGGGCUUCCUAAUAGGCUCGGUGACGUAGCUAACGCAUUAAGUAUCCCGCCUGGGGAGUACGGUCGCAAGAUUAAAACUCAAAGGAAUUGACGGGGCCCGCACAAGCGGUGGAGCAUGUGGUUUAAUUCGAUGCUACGCGAAAAACCUUACCUGGGCUUGACAUCCCGGGCUACCCUGUGAAAGCAGGGGUUCUCUUAGGAGACCCGGUGACAGGUGCUGCAUGGCUGUCGUCAGCUCGUGUUGUGAGAUGUUGGGUUAAGUCCCGCAACGAGCGCAACCCUCAUCGUUAGUUACCAGCAUUAAGUUGGGCACUCUAACGAGACCGCUCGGCUAUAAGCCAGAGGAAGGUGGGGAUGACGUCAAGUCCUCAUGGCCCUUAUGCCCAGGGGCUACACACGUGCUACAAUGGGGAAGAACAAAGCGCCGCUAGCUCGCGAGAGUCUGCUAAUCGCAAAAAUCUUUCCUCAGUUCGGGAUUGGGAGU